GAUCCCGCCGGAGGCUACCGCUAUUGGAGUUCGAUUAANCCAUGCGAGUCGAGAGUCUUAGGGACUCGGCGUACCGCUCAGUAACACGUGGGUAACCUGCCCUAUGCUGGGGAAUAACCUCGGGAAACUGAGAAUAAUGCCCCAUAGUCCACAAUGCCGGGAACGGUUUGUGGAUCAAAGCUCCGGCGGCAUAGGAUGGGCCUGCGGCGUAUCAGGUCGUAGGGGGUGUAACGUACCCUCUAGCCAUCGACGCGUACGGGUGUUGGGAGACAUAGCCCGGAGAUGGAUUCUGAGACACGAAUCCAGACCCUACGGGGUGCAGCAGGCGCGAAAACUUGGCAAUGCGAGAAAUCGUGACCAGGGAACUCCAAGUGGCUGGGGUAAGACCCAGUCUUUUCUUGACUCUUCAAAGGUCUUGGAAUAAGGGGUGGGUAAGGACGGUGCCAGCCGCCGCGGUAAUACCGGCGCCUCAAGUGGUAGUCGAUUUUAUUGGGCCUAAAACGUCCGUAGCCUGUUUGGUACAUUCGUGGGUAAAUCAACCAGCUCAACCGAUUGAAUUCUGCGAGCACGGCCAGACUUGGGACCGGGAGAGGUGUGGGG
This 600-nucleotide ribosomal RNA is filed under the name uncultured archaeon. Its description in RNAcentral is "bacterial SSU rRNA". It matches the Rfam family "Archaeal small subunit ribosomal RNA", at positions 10 to 615 of the family's 1478-position model. The record is from RNAcentral.